Pan troglodytes (chimpanzee) is the source of this 614-nucleotide long non-coding RNA. RefSeq lists it as uncharacterized. NCBI's taxonomy places the organism in Eukaryota, Metazoa, Chordata, Mammalia, Primates, Hominidae. The record is from RefSeq and is a predicted model, not a curated record. The transcript has 4 exons.
GGCCUGCCCCGCGCCCCUGGAGCUGUCAGCGGGUGUCCUGGGAGCUCCAGAGGCCCGAUUUGGUAACUGCGCUUUCCUGCAACCUAGUCUCAGGAAGGGAGCAGGAAGUGUGUGACCCAGAAAGUUCCGCCAUCUAGGUGGCCUCCACCAUUUCAGCCAGCCGCCGCCUCUGUUGCCUGAUUUCACCCCUUGUGGUUCCUUCCUAGACUCAUCAGCUCUAAGACCACUGCAGAUCUCACUCUGUCACCCAGGCUGGAGUGCUGUGGCACAAUCUUGGCUCACUGCAACCUCCACUUCCCAGGCUCAAGUGAUCCUCCCACCUCAGCCUCCCGAAUAGCUGGGACCACAGGGUCUUGCUUCAUCAUCCAAGCUGGAGUGCAGUGGCACGAUCAUGGCUUAUUGUAACUUGGAACUCCUGGGCUCAAGCGACCCUCCUGCUUCAGCCUCCCAAAGUGCUGGUAUUAGAGGUGUGAGCCACCUCGCCCAGCUUCUUCUACAACUAUUAACUGAAAUUCUUCUGUAAAUAAUUUUCCCUUACCAACUAGGUCUUUUUGGUAUCCUAAAAUAACCAUUUGUACAUGAUGAGUAGAAUAAAUGUUUAAUUCUUUUGUGAA